Molecule: ribosomal RNA, 492 nt
Filed under: uncultured bacterium
Lineage: Bacteria
Description: partial 16S ribosomal RNA
Rfam family: Bacterial small subunit ribosomal RNA
Source: RNAcentral
AGUGAACGCUGGCGGUAGGCCUAACACAUGCAAGUCGAACGGCAGCACAGUAAGAGCUUGCUCUUACGGGUGGCGAGUGGCGGACGGGUGAGGAAUACAUCGGAAUCUACUUUUUCGUGGGGGAUAACGUAGGGAAACUUACGCUAAUACCGCAUACGAUCUACGGGUGAAAGCAGGGGAUCUUCGGACCUUGCGCGAUUGAAUGAGCCGAUGUCGGCUUAGCUAGUUGGCGGGGUAAAGGCCCACCAAGGCGACGAUCCGUAGCUGGUCUGAGAGGAUGAUCAGCCACACUGGAACUGAGACACGGUCCAGACUCCUACGGGAGGCAGCAGUGGGGACUAUUGGACAAUGGGCGCAAGCCUGAUCCAGCCAUACCGCGUGAGUGAAGAAGGCCUUCGGGUUGUAAAGCCCUUUUGUUGGGAAAGAAAAGCAGCAGGUUAAUACCCCGCUGUUCUGACGGUACCCAAAGAAUAAGCACCGGCUAACUUCGUG